UAGACUCCUACGGGAGGCAGCAGUGGGAAUAUUGCACAAUGGGCGCAAGCCUGAUGCAGCCAUGCCGCGUGUGUGAAGAAGGCCCUAGGGUUGUAAAGCUCUUUCACCGGUGAAGAUAAUGACGGUAACCGGAGAAGAAGCCCCGGCUAACUCCGUGCCAGCAGCCGCGGUAAUACGGAGGGUGCGAGCGUUAAUCGGAAUUACUGGGCGUAAAGCGCAUGCAGGUGGUUUGUUAAGUCAGAUGUGAAAGCCCGGGGCUCAACCUCGGAACUGCAUUUGAAACUGGCAGACUAGAGUACUGUAGAGGGGGGUAGAAUUUCAGGUGUAGCGGUGAAAUGCGUAGAGAUCUGAAGGAAUACCGGUGGCGAAGGCGGCCCCCUGGACAGAUACUGACACUCAGAUGCGAAAGCGUGGGGAGCAAACAGGAUUAGAUACCCUGGUAG
This 443-nucleotide ribosomal RNA is filed under the name uncultured bacterium. RNAcentral's name for it is "bacterial SSU rRNA". It matches the Rfam family "Bacterial small subunit ribosomal RNA", at positions 332 to 793 of the family's 1533-position model. The record is from RNAcentral.